GAGUUGUAAUUUGCAGAGGGCGCUUUGGCUUUGGCAGCGGUCCAAGUUCCUUGGAACAGGACGUCACAGAGGGUGAGAAUCCCGUACGUGGUCGCUGGCUAUUGCCGUGUAAAGCCCCUUCGACGAGUCGAGUUGUUUGGGAAUGCAGCUCUAAAUGGGAGGUACAUUUCUUCUAAAGCUAAAUAUUGGCCAGAGACCGAUAGCGCACAAGUAGAGUGAUCGAAAGAUGAAAAGCACUUUGGAAAGAGAGUCAAACAGCACGUGAAAUUGUUGAAAGGGAAGCGCUUGCAGCCAGACUUGCUUACAGUUGCUCAUCCGGGUUUUUACCCGGUGCACUCUUCUGUAGGCAGGCCAGCAUCAGUUUGGGCGGUAGGAUAAAGGUCUCUGUCACGUACCUCCUUUCGGGGAGGCCUUAUAGGGGAGACGACAUACUACCAGCCUGGACUGAGGUCCGCGCAUCUGCUAGGAUGCUGGCGUAAUGGCUGUAAGCGGCCCGUCUUGAAACACGGACCAAGGAGUCUAACAUCUAUGCGAGUGUUUGGGUGUCAAGCCCGAGCGCGUAAUGAAAGUGAACGGAGGUGGGAACCCGCAAGGGUGCACCAUCGACCGAUCCUGAUGUCUUCGGAAGGAUUUGAGUAAGAGCAUGGCUGUUGGGACCCGAAAGAUGGUGAACUAUGCUUGAAUAGGGUGAAGCCAGAGGAAACUCUGGUGGAGGCUCGCAGCGGUUCUGACGUGCAAAUCGAUCGUCAAAUUUGGGCAUAGGGGCGAAAGACUAAUCGAACUAUCUAGUAGCUGGUUCCUGCCGAAGUUUCCCUCAGGAUAGCAGUAACGUAUUCAGUUUUAUGAGGUAAAGCGAAUGAUUAGAGGCCUGGGGGUUGAAACAACCUUCACCUAUUCUCAAACUUUAAAUAUGUAAGAAGUCCUUGUUACUUAAUUGAACGUGGACAGUUGAAUGAAACGUUAUUAGUGGGCCAUUUU
This 978-nucleotide ribosomal RNA is filed under the name Alternaria alternata. Its description in RNAcentral is "partial large subunit ribosomal RNA". It matches the Rfam family "Eukaryotic large subunit ribosomal RNA", at positions 140 to 1137 of the family's 3401-position model. Lineage: Eukaryota; Fungi; Ascomycota; Dothideomycetes; Pleosporales; Pleosporaceae. The record is from RNAcentral.